UGGAAAUGCUUAAUGCUGACUUAUUUCAGAGCUCACCCCGUGCUGCAGCGUGCGAGUAGAGGAGGGCGAGCGUGCACAACUGCCCCUCUAUGGGAUGAUUCUCCUUUCCUUCCUCUUUCUACGUCUUUCUUUUUUUUUUCCUUUCUUUUCUCUUUUUUCCCUAUUUAUUUGUUCAUUUCUGGUUGGUGUUUUAAAGCCCCCCUUCAUAUCUCAGGACGGCUCUAUCUCAGGGAGUUGGGGCUGUGCUAUUGUCCACAGCCCGAGUUGCUGUACAAGGAGAAGCUGCAUUGCAUUCAUGUAUUCGUGCACGUUCCGCUCCUCCCAUGAUAUGGGGAUUCACUCCACAGGUGCUGCAUGGAGCAAAUCCCCCAAUUCCAGUCCUGCAGUGCAAGUUCUGGGGGGAUACUCUCCAUAUUUAAGGCUGCUGGUACAGCAAAUGGCAUCUUGGUUUUCCCUUAAUUGUCUGCCCACCCAACCCAUUCUCACUGAAGUCCCAAACCCUUCUCAGCUCUCUGUGUUGCUUUCCAGCUCCCACAUGGUUGGAGGCACUGGCAGGAGGAGCUGUAGCCCACGGCCAGGUGAGGGCAGCUGA
RNAcentral lists this long non-coding RNA (592 nucleotides) under Meleagris gallopavo (turkey). Its description in RNAcentral is "lncRNA (ENSMGAG00000022998.1)". The record is from RNAcentral. Lineage: Eukaryota; Metazoa; Chordata; Aves; Galliformes; Phasianidae.